This 468-nucleotide ribosomal RNA is filed under the name uncultured bacterium. RNAcentral's name for it is "partial 16S ribosomal RNA". It matches the Rfam family "Bacterial small subunit ribosomal RNA", at positions 28 to 507 of the family's 1533-position model. The record is from RNAcentral.
GACGAACGCUGGCGGCGUGCUUAACACAUGCAAGUCGAACGGAAAGGCCCUGCUUUUGUGGGGUGCUCGAGUGGCGAACGGGUGAGUAACACGUGAGUAACCUGCCCUUGACUUUGGGAUAACUUCAGGAAACUGGGGCUAAUACCGGAUAGGAGCUCCUGCUGCAUGGUGGGGGUUGGAAAGUUUCGGCGGUUGGGGAUGGACUCGCGGCUUAUCAGCUUGUUGGUGGGGUAGUGGCGUACCAAGGCUUUGACGGGUAGCCGGCCUGAGAGGGUGGCCGGCCACAUUGGGACUGAGAUACGGCCCAGACUCCUACGGGAGGCAGCAGUCGGGAAUAUUGCACAAUGGGCGGGAGCCUGAUGCAGCAACGCCGCGUGCGUGAUGACGGCCUUCGGGUUGUAAACCGCUUUCGCCUGUGACGAAGCGUGAGUGACGGUAAUGGGUAAAGAAGCACCGGCUAACUACGUG